AUGGGUCUUUUGGAAACCAAAAAGUGCUCCCUAUGGCAUCUCUCUGAAGAUCCACUUCGGCACGUUUAUGAUACAUGCAGCCCCGAUGGCUGCUAUACCUUUCAGUACGGCUCGUUAGCUCUGUGCUCUAACCAGCCUGCUUACUUUGCAAAAGGCACAAAGCUGACCGUUCUUGAGAAGAAUGUCACUGAACCGACUCUGGAAAUCCUCACCCCAUCACAAGAUGAACUUUGCCAAAGGAAUCGGGUGACACUGAUUUGUCUAGCGAGUGAUUUUUAUCCUGACCACAUAAGUAUUACCUGGGAUUUGCCACAACUCAACGAGCCGACAAGAAUUAAAACUGACACCCCAGUACUGAAUGGCCACACAAAGUUAUAUAGUGUCAGCAGCCGAUUAAGAGUGCCCAAAAGUGUCUGGUGCAACCCUGAUAACAAGUUUACCUGCAUCGUGACGUUUGGCAUGGAAAAUGGAACGGAGACUUACAGGAGAUCUAUACAUGGAUCACAAGAUUGCAUCAAGAGGACAGAAUUAGUUAAGAAAAACAGCAAAACUGUGACAUUUGCAUAUCUAAUAUUUAUUGGAAAAAGUGUGCUGUAUGGAUUCCUACUUACAAUUUUUUUGUGGAAAACAAAGGUAAGCAAUAUUCCUGUGAGUGUGGAGACUUACUAAACUUAAUAAAGUUCUAACUGAUAUGUGUAAUCAUUCUUAAAUCUAUGGCUUGUUCAUGCCAAAUGCAUACUAAAGCAUUGUUUAAAUAAAGUAAAUAAAUAUUCAGUCAUCCAGCACUAUUUUUCUUUCGUAUUUUGAAUUUUUGAGAGUUAUUACAUAGUCAGACAUGACUAACAGUUUCAGAAAUGCACCAAAUUGCGACAGAAACUGCGUCUAAACAAUUCUGCGUUUCCUAAUGAGCCUGUGGGUGGCACGGUGGUGCAGAGGUAGUGCUGCUGCCUUGCAAUAGGGAGACCAGGAUUUGUGUUCCUUGUCCUCCCUGCAUAGUUUGCAUGUUCUCCUCAUGUCUACAUGGGUUUCCUCCAGGUGCUCUGGUUUCCUCCCACAGUCCAAAGAAAUGCAGUUUAGGUGGUUUGUCAAUCCUAAAUUGUCCUGGUAUGUGUGUUUGUGUGUGUUUGCCCAGCGACGGACUGGUGCCCUGUCCAGGACUUCUUCCUGCCUUGCACCCUAUGCUAGAUGGGCUAGGCUCCAGCAGCCCCUUUGAUCCUGUUCAGGUCUAAGCAGAUUGAAAAAUGAUGAAAUGAAAUGAGUCUCAUUGACCUUCUUUGUGUUCUUUUGCAGCUGCACUCAAAAGAUUUCCAAUUAUGAAUGAACCUGAAAUAAUCGUGUUCUUACUCUCAAUAUAAAAUUUCAGUUUGCAUUUACCAAAAGUAUUAUUUUCAUUUCCUUGUUUCAUAACAAAAUUGAAAGUUGUUUGUAUUUUUAGUAAAGUAUGCAAAUUUAUUAACUAUUCUGUUGUAAUUGGUCAAGA
Non-coding RNA from Erpetoichthys calabaricus (reedfish), 1480 nucleotides. Lineage: Eukaryota; Metazoa; Chordata; Cladistia; Polypteriformes; Polypteridae. The record is from the annotation of a RefSeq genome assembly.